GGGGGCGCACUGGUUUCGACUGGUUUCGUUCAGCCCUGGGUUGCGUGUCGGGCAUCUCGAGUCAGCCCGUAAAAUCCUCUCGGGACGGCAUUACAUGCCAACAACUUUUCUCUCGCUGCCUGAUUCGUCAUGCAGCCGUCUACCCGGGAAGUGCCUGCGGUCCUGGGUAGACGCCACUAGCAGGCUGGCCGGCGAGUCGCGCCUCGGGGCGGACCGGUGAGAAACUUCCGAAGCUGGCGCACGAGCGGCUCGUCCACGAACGGCCCGCGCGCGAGAUCCAACCGUGGAACACACACGUAGAUGCCCUGGGUGAGAAGAUUUCAGGACGUGGGUUCAAUUCCCACCGCCUCCACCA
This 355-nucleotide transfer-messenger RNA is filed under the name Planctomycetota. RNAcentral describes it as "JAEUIA01 sp016795245 Standard tmRNA". It matches the Rfam family "transfer-messenger RNA". Rfam says of the family: Bacterial tmRNA, also known as 10Sa RNA or SsrA, is named for its dual tRNA and mRNA-like properties. The record is from RNAcentral. RNAcentral also lists the same sequence under 1 other name. Lineage: Bacteria; Pseudomonadati.